UCUGGUUGAUCCUGCCAGUAGUCAUACGCUUGUCUCAAAGAUUAAGCCAUGCAUGUCUAAGUAUAAAGGUUACAUACAAUGAAACUGCGAAUGGCUCAUUCAAACAGUUAUAGUUUAUUUGGAUUUACACAUUAGUUAAAUGGAUAACCGUAGUAAUUCUAGGGCUAAUACAUGCGUUACGGGGGACUUUACGGAACCCCAGUAUUUAUUAGAUUCAAACCAAUAUUCCGAAGGUCUACUUGAGAUGAUUCAUGAUAACUGAUCGAAUUGCUGGUCUACCGGCAAUAAGUCAUUCAUGUUUCUGCUUCCCAUCAGCUUGAUGGUAGUGUAUUGGACAACCAUGGCAUUCACGGGCUAUCGGGGGAUUAGGGUUCGAUUCCGGAGAGGGAGCCUGAGAAACGGCUACCACUUCUACGGAAGGCAGCAGGCGCGAAAAUUAUCCAAUCCUGAUUCAGGGAGGUAGUGAAACAAAUAAUGAACUAGGAUUUAUCCUGGGGUCACAAUGGGCUUGAUUUGCAAACUUUAUUUAGCGAGGAACAAUUGGAGGGCAAGUCUGGUGCCAGCAGCCGCGGUAAUUCAGCUCCAAUAGUGUAUAUUAAUGUUCCUGCAGUUAUUCGAUGCUCGUAGUUGGAUUUCUGGAGGCUGAGAUCGGAGGGUAGCCAAGGUUACCGCUGAACUCUUCCUUCAUCCACCUGUUAACGUUGUCCGGGAUUCGUUUCUCGGCUUCGGGCUCAGGCAUAUACUUUUACCCUUUUUCUAUAUUUAUUGUUUGAGUAAAUUAUAGUGUUUCAGGCAGGCGUGCGCCGGAAUACUUUAGCAUGGAAUAAUCGAAUUGGACCGUGUAUUCUUAUUGAAUUCUUCCUUAUUGUUGGUUCAAGGACACGGAAAUGGUUAAUAGGGAUAGUGUUUUUAUUAUCAGGGGAGGCAUUAGUAUUUAAUUUCCAGAGGUGAAAUUCUUUGAAAUAUUAAAGACUAACUUAUGCGAAAGCAUUUAUUAUUGCCAAUAAUGUUUUCAUUAAUCAUUGAACGAAAGUUAGGGGAUCAAAGACGAUCAGAUACCGUCCUAGUCUUAACCAUAAACGUUGCCGACUAGGGAUCGGAGGGCGUGCACAUUCCGCCUUCGGCACCUUACGAGAAAUCAAAGUCUUUUGGGUUCUGGGGGUAGUAUGGUCGCAAGGCUGAAACUUAAAGGAAUUGACGGAAGGGCACCACCAGGAGUGGAGCUUGCGGCUCAAUUUGACUCAACACGGGAAAUCUUACCAGGUCCAGACAUAGCGAGGAUUGACAGAUUGAUAGCUCUUUCUUGAUUCUAUGGGUAUUUUUUAUAUAUUUUUGGUGGUGCAUGGCCGUUCUUAGUUGGUGGAGUGAUUUGUCUGGUUAAUUCCGUUAAACGAACGAGACCUCAGCCUGCUAAAUAGUUACCUGUCUUUUCC
RNAcentral lists this ribosomal RNA (1433 nucleotides) under metagenome. Its description in RNAcentral is "SSU rRNA". It matches the Rfam family "Eukaryotic small subunit ribosomal RNA", at positions 1 to 1373 of the family's 1831-position model. The record is from RNAcentral.